Molecule: long non-coding RNA, 940 nt
Filed under: Ananas comosus (pineapple)
Lineage: Eukaryota; Viridiplantae; Streptophyta; Magnoliopsida; Poales; Bromeliaceae
Description: long non-coding RNA (ACOM_LNC029707)
Source: RNAcentral
AGCUAGAAUACUAUCGAUAGCAAACGGGCUCCGUUGCCACCCAUUUGUUUUCGAUGAUGGAGCCUCCAAAUCGACGAUCGGUACUGUCAAACAUGAUCUAUAUCACUUGAAGUGUCUAGAAAUCAAAUUUCAUACAUUUUCGAUAUUGUUUUCUUAUCAAUCGAGUGGACACAAAAAUGAGCGGCUAAAAAUAAAUAUUUUUUAAAAAAUGAUGAUAGGAGUCUUGUAAUCAAGAUCAAGAGUAUAUAUCUUGUUUUAAAUAGUUUAAAGAAUUUUCUAAUAAAAAUUCAAUUGAUUUGGAUAUCUUCAUGCCGUUAAACGAGAAAACGCCUCAUAUCGACUAUUAAAAUUACAAAUUUUGAAAACCUGUGAUCAUUAGGCAAAUGAUGUUGAAAAGAUUUGAAAUUUGAUUUCUAAACACUUCAAGUGGUAUACAUCAUGUUCAACGGUGCCGAUCGUCGAUUUGGGGGCUCUAUCAUCGAAAACAAAUGGAUGGCAACGAAGCCCAUUUGCUAUCGAUAGUAUUCUAGCUCAACUCUCUCUCUCUCUAUAUAUAUAUAUAUACACAUACAUACAUACAUACAUACAUACAUACAUACAUACAUAUAUAUAUAUAUAUAUAUAUAUAUAUAUACACAUACAUAUUUGAGAGAUAGGUAGCACGCUAUCCGCUUCGUUUAUUUUAUUUAAAAAUAAACUUAGCUGACAAUGUGAAUCAACUAGGAUUCGAACUUGGGACCUCGGGUACCAACCACAAAGCCCUUUGCCACUUGCUCUAGGGAUGGUCAGUAUGAUCUCUUAUAUUUCAAUCACAAUCUAUUUUCUAUUCUAUGAAAUUAUUCGUGUUAUAGACUCUCACUAAUUGGACCCUGAUGUCCUCAUUAGGCUUAAAUCGUGAAAUUAUUGAGACAUUACAAACUCCCUCCAGAUAGACUCCGAC